This 432-nucleotide ribosomal RNA is filed under the name uncultured bacterium. RNAcentral's name for it is "partial 16S ribosomal RNA". It matches the Rfam family "Bacterial small subunit ribosomal RNA", at positions 29 to 507 of the family's 1533-position model. The record is from RNAcentral.
ACGAACGCUGGCGGCAUGCCUAACACCUGCCAGUCGCACGAGACCUUCGGGUCUGGUGGCGCACGGGUGCGUAACGCGUGGGAACCUGCCCUUAGGUUCGGAAUAACUCCCCGAAAGGGGUGCUAAUACCGGAUAAUGUCUUCGGACCAAAGAUUUAUCGCCUUUGGAUGGGCCCGCGUUGGAUUAGCUAGUUGGUAGGGUAAAAGCCUACCAAGGCGACGAUCCAUAGCUGGUCUGAGAGGAUGAUCAGCCACACUGGGACUGAGACACGGCCCAGACUCCUACGGGAGGCAGCAGUGGGGAAUAUUGGACAAUGGGCGAAAGCCUGAUCCAGCAAUGCCGCGUGAGUGAUGAAGGCCUUAGGGUUGUAAAGCUCUUUUACCCGGGAUGAUAAUGACAGUACCGGGAGAAUAAGCUCCGGCUAACUCCGUG